UGAGGUGUAGCUCAGUCCGGAUAGAGCGUCGCACUACGGAUGCGGAUGUCGCAGGUUCGAAUCCUGUCACCUCAAC
RNAcentral lists this transfer RNA (76 nucleotides) under Streptomyces phage Satis. RNAcentral describes it as "tRNA-Arg". It matches the Rfam family "tRNA". Rfam says of the family: Transfer RNA (tRNA) molecules are approximately 80 nucleotides in length. Their secondary structure includes four short double-helical elements and three loops (D, anti-codon, and T loops). The record is from RNAcentral. RNAcentral also lists the same sequence under 4 other names. Lineage: Duplodnaviria; Heunggongvirae; Uroviricota; Caudoviricetes.